Molecule: ribosomal RNA, 531 nt
Filed under: uncultured organism
Description: bacterial SSU rRNA
Rfam family: Bacterial small subunit ribosomal RNA
Source: RNAcentral
UUUCGUGGGCUUAAGCGCAGAGAGUACGUCCGCCGAAGAGGUGGAUUCCUUCGGGCGAUAUGCGAGGUGUCUGCAUGGUUGUCGUCAGCUCGUGCCAUGAGGUGUCGGGUUAAGUCCCAUAACGAGCGCAACCUUUAUCGUUAGUUGCCAGCGGUUAAUGCCGGGGACUCUAUCGAAACUGCCGGUAUAAACCGUGAGGAAGGUGGGGAUGACGUCAAAUCAGCACGGCCCUUAUGUCCAGGGCUACACACGUGUUACAAUGGUCGGUACAGAGGGCAGGUACCACGCAAGUGGAUAAUAAUCUGGAAAACUGGUCUCAGUUUGGAUUGAUGUAUGCAACUAGAUUUCAUGAAGCUGGAUUCGCUAGUAAUCGCGCAUCAGCCAUGGCGCGGUGAAUACGUUCCCGGCCCUUGUACACACCGCCCGUCAAUCCAUGGAAGCUUGGGGUACCUGAAGUCAGUAACCGCAAGGAGCGGCCUAGGGUAAGACAAGUGACUGGGGUUAAGUCGUAACAAGGUAACCAAGGGCGAA